This 914-nucleotide ribosomal RNA is filed under the name uncultured marine archaeon. Its description in RNAcentral is "bacterial SSU rRNA". It matches the Rfam family "Archaeal small subunit ribosomal RNA", at positions 1 to 921 of the family's 1478-position model. The record is from RNAcentral.
UUCCGGUUGAUCCUGCCGGAGGCUACCGCUAUUGGAGUUCGAUUAAGCCAUGCGAGUCGAGAGUCUUAGGGACUCGGCGCACCGCUCAGUAACACGUGGGUAACCUGCCCUAUGCUGGGGGAUAACCUCGGGAAACUGAGAAUAAUACCCCAUAGUUCACCACGCCUGGAACGGUGGGUGGAUCAAAGCUCCGGCGGCAUAGGAUGGGCCUGCGACGUAUCAGGUUGUAGGGGGUGUAACGUACCCUCUAGCCAUCAACGCGUACGGGUGUUGGGAGACAUAGCCCGGAGAUGGAUUCUGAGACACGAAUCCAGACCCUACGGGGUGCAGCAGGCGCGAAAACUUGGCAAUGCGAGCAAUCGUGACCAGGGAACUCCAAGUGGCUGGGGUAAUACCCAGUUUUUUCUUGACUCUUCAAAGGUCUUGGAAUAAGGGGUGGGUAAGGACGGUGCCAGCCGCCGCGGUAAUACCGGCGCCUCAAGUGGUAGUCGCUUUUAUUGGGCCUAAAACGUCCGUAGCCGGUUUGGUACAUUCGUGGGUAAAUCAAGGCGCUCAACGUCUUGAAUUCUGCGAGCACGGCCAGACUUGGGACCGGGUGAGGUGUGGGGUACUCUCAGGGUAGGGGUAAAAUCCUGUCAUCCUGAGAGGACCACCUGUUGCGAAGGCGCCACACUAGAACGGAUCCGACGGUCAGGGACGAAGCCUAGGGGCACGAACCGGAUUAGAUACCCGGGUAGUCCUAGGUGUAAACGCUGUGGACUUGAUGUUGGGAGUGCUCCGAGCACCCUCAGUGUCGAAGCGAAGGUGAUAAGUCCACUGCCUGGGGAGUACGGUCGCAAGGCUGAAACUUAAAGGAAUUGGCGGGGGAGCACUGCAACCUGAGGAUUGUGCGGUUUAAUUGGAGUCAACGCCGG